UACGUAUGGUGCAAGCGUUAUCCGGAUUUACUGGGUGUAAAGGGAGCGCAGGCGGCACGGCAAGCCUGAUGUGAAAGCCCGCGGCCCAACCGCGGGACUGCAUUGGGAACUACCGGGCUGGAGUGCCGGAGAGGUAGGCGGAAUUCCUAGUGUAGCGGUGAAAUGCGUAGAUAUUAGGAGGAACACCAGUGGCGAAGGCGGUCUGCUGGACAGCAACUGACGCUGAGGCGCGAAAGCGUGGGGAGCAAACAGG
Molecule: ribosomal RNA, 253 nt
Filed under: uncultured bacterium
Lineage: Bacteria
Description: partial 16S ribosomal RNA
Rfam family: Bacterial small subunit ribosomal RNA
Source: RNAcentral